Molecule: ribosomal RNA, 494 nt
Filed under: uncultured bacterium
Lineage: Bacteria
Description: partial 16S ribosomal RNA
Rfam family: Bacterial small subunit ribosomal RNA
Source: RNAcentral
GACGAACGCUGGCGGCGCGCUUAACACAUGCAAGUCGAACGGAAAGGCCUGCUUUCCCUUGUGGAUUGCGGGUACUCGAGUGGCGAACGGGUGAGUAACACGUGAGUGAUCUGCCCCCAACUUGUGUAUAAGCCUGGGAAACUGGGUCUAAUUCCCGAUAGGACUGCAGUGUGGUGCCUGUGGUUGAAAACGAUUUUCUAGUGGUUGGGGAUGAGCUCGCGGCCUAUCAGCUUGUUGGUGGGGUAAUGGCCUACCAAGGCGGCGACUGGUAGCCUGCCUGGGAGGGUGGACGGCCACAUUGGGACUGAGAUACGGCGCAGACUCCUACGGGAGGCAGCAGUGGGGAAUAUUGCACAAUGGGCGGAAGCCUGAUGCAGCGACGCUGCGUGGGGGAUGCCGGCCUUCGGGUUGUAAACUCCUUUCGACAGCGAGGAAGCCACCUGGUUGGAAGGGUGGUGACGGUAGUGGUAGAAGAAGCACCGGCUAACUACGUG